Molecule: long non-coding RNA, 9616 nt
Organism: Hypanus sabinus (Atlantic stingray)
Lineage: Eukaryota; Metazoa; Chordata; Chondrichthyes; Myliobatiformes; Dasyatidae
Exons: 4
Source: RefSeq, a predicted model, not a curated record
GGCUGCACCACAUAAGUAUGAGACAUCAUAAUUCAACCUUCUGGCAAGUAUCAGGGGCAUUGCAUUGGCCAUGAAGAGCUCCCGACAUCCUGAAAAUACAAAAAGGCAUCUACAAACUUAAGCUAUUUCUCUCUGCCACACGUUGUGGUCAGAAUAGAUGCAGCAUGGUAACAGGCCCUUCUAGUCCAGCAACCCGAUGGCGCCCAGUUACCGCCAGGUGACCAAUUAAGCUGCUGGCCCAUGAGCCUUUGGAAUGUGCAAGCAAAACAGAGCACUUGAGGAAACCCAUGUGGUCGUGGGGAGAACGUAUAAACUCCUUACAGACAGCAAUGGGGAUUAACCCAUUGAGGAUCGAUCUGAUGCCGUGCAGUGUUACGCCAACCACUACGCUACCGUGUAUUCCCUGACAUCAUCACCGAUGUAAGUGGACAGCAGCAAAUCAGGUGUCCAUCAUACAAGUAAACAGAAGAUUAAAGUUGUGCAAGACUGUUCGUGCAAAGGUCUGUUACCACCAACAAUGUGAGCAUGCCAAUGGCAAAAUGUUCUCCCAUUCUUUCUCUGCCCUGCAGGAGAACACAACUACAGCUGUGUUCCUGCUGCACCUGAUGACCCUGUGAUCUCUGUCUCAGAGGCUGUUGUUAGACGCUCUGUAAAGAGAAUGAAGUUGGAAAGUCCCAAUGGAGUACCUGGUAAGGCUCUGAAAACCUGUGCCAACCAACUAGUGGGAUUAUUCAAGAAUAUUUUCAGUCUCUCACUGCUACGGGCGGAAGUUCCCACUUCCUUCAAAAGAGCAACAAUUAUACUAGUGCCUAAGAGGAAUAAUGUGAGCUGUCUUAAUGACUAUCGCCCGGUAGCACUCACAUUGAAUUGAAUUGACUUUAUUUCUUACAUCCUUCACAUACAUGAGGAGUAAAAAUUUUUACGUUAUGUCUCCAUCUAAAUGUGCCAUGUGCAAUCAUAGUAAUUUAUAAUAAAUAGAACAGUCAAUGUAAUAUAGAGUACACUCAAAUCAGCAUGAAUUAAUCAGUCUGAUGGCCUGGUGGAAGAAGCUGUCCCGGAUCCUGUUGGUCCUGGCUUUUAUGCUGUGGUACCGCUUCCCAGAUGGUAGCAGCUGGAAUAGAUUGUGGCUGGGAUGACUUGUGUCCCCAAUGAUCCUAUGGGCUCUUUUUACACACCUGUCCUUGUAAAUGUCCUGAAUCAUGGGAAGUUUACAACUAAAGAUGCACUGUCUGCACCACUCUCUGCAGAGUCCUGUGAUUAAGGGAGGUACAGUUCCCAUACCGAGCAGUGAUGCAGCCAGUCAGGAUGCUCUCAAUUGUACCCCUGUAGGAAGUUCUUAGGAUUGGGGGCCCAUACCAAACUUCCUCAACUGUCUGAGGUGAAAGAGGUGCUGUUGUGCCUUUUUCACCACACAGCUGGUGUGUACAGACCACGUGAGGUCACAUCAACAGUGAUGAAAUGCUUUGACAGGUUGGUCAUGACCAGAAUGAACUGCUGCCUCAGCAAAGACCUGGACCAUUGCAAUUUGCCUAUCACCACAAUAGGUCAAUGGCAGAUAUAAUCUCAAUGGCUCUCCACACGGCUUUAGACCAUCUGGAACACACAAGCACCUACGUCAGGAUGCUGUUCAUCGACUAUAGUUCAGCAUUUAAUACCAUUAUUCUCACAAUCCUGAUUGAAAAGUUGCAGAACCUGGGCCUCUGUAUCUCCCUCUGCAAUUGGAUCCUUGACUUCCUAUCCGGAAGACCACGAUCUGUGUGGAUUGCAUGAUAACAUUUCCUCCUCACUGACUAUCAACACUGGUGCACCUCGGGGGUGUGUGCUUAGCCCACUGCUCUACUCUCUAUAUACACGUGAUUGUCUGGCCAGGCACAGAUCAAAUACCAUCGAUAAAUUUGAUGAUGAUACAACCACUGUUGAUAGAAUCUCAGGUGGCAACGAAAGGGCGUACAGGAGUGUGGAAUGCCGACUAGUGGAGUGGUGCCACAGCAACAACCUGGCACUCAACGUCAGUGAAACAAAAGAGCUGAUUGUGGACUUCAGGAAGGGUAAGAUGAAGGAACACAUACCAAUCCUCACAGAGGGAUCAGAAGUGGAGAGAGAGAGCAGUUUCAAGUUCCUGGGUGUCAAGAUCUCUGAGGAUCUAACCUGGUUCCAACAUAUUGAUGUAGUUAUAAAGAAGGCAAAACAGCAGUGAUACUUCAUUGGGAGUUUUAAGAUAUUUGUCAUGUCAAUAAACACAUUCAAAAACUUCUAUAGAUGUACCGUGGAGAGCAUUCUGACAGACUGCAUCACUGUCUGGUAUGGGGGGGGGGUGGGUGGGGGCUAUUGCACAAGAUCAAAAAAAGCUGCAGAGGGUUGUAACUCUAGUCAGCUCCAUCUUGAGUACUAGCCCACAAAGUACCCAGGACAUCUUCAGGGAGUGGUGUCUCAGAAAGGCAGCGUCCAUUAUUAAGGACCUCCAGCACCCAGGGCGUGCCCUUUUCUCACUGUUACCAUCAGGUAGGAGGUACAGAAGCCUGAAGGCACAUACUCAGCGAUUCAGGAACAGCUUCUUCCCCUCUGCCAUCUGAUUCCUAAAUGCACAUUGAACUCUUGGACACUACCUCACUUUUUUUCAUACAGUAUUUCUGUUUUUCCCACUUUUUAAAAUCUAUUCAAUAUAUGUACUGUAUACUGUAAUUUAUUUAUUUGUUGUUUGUUUUAUUUAUUAUUUUUUUCUCUUCCAUAUUAUGUAUUAAAUUGAACUACUGCUACUAAGUUAACAAAUUUCACGUCACAUGCCGGUGAUAAUAAACUUGAUUUUGAUUUUGAACUUAUUGAUAUCUUUCCUGUAGGGAGGUGACAAGAACUGCACACUCAAUACCUCAGAUCUGCCAAUGUCUGAAACAACUUGAACAUCCCAACUUUUGUACUCAAUACUUUGAUUUAUGAAGGCCAAAAAGGCAGUGCCACUCUCAAAAAGGCUUUCAACCAAGAAUGAAUCUACUCUUUCUGCCAGUAUUACAGUUGUCUUGCUACUUGUUUUAUUAUUGUCAACGUGGAGUAACUAUUCAGAGUGAUGGAAGCGAAUUCAGUCCACAGUCUUUUGAUUGAGGGUAAAGAGUUUGUAAAUAUAUUAAAUUGCAGAUAAACAUUAACACACCUCACAAGCGGUACAAUUUUUCCUUGGUUGUAGGUAAUUAUGGGGACUCCAAAAAGUUAAGUGGGGUUAUUCACAAUAAGAGUUCCCUGCCAAAAUUAGGAUGAAGUUCCCAAUCUAAAACGAAAAGAUGCUGAAGUAGCAUUUGUUGUGUGUGGACAGUGAGACGCCAUUGCUCAUAUGAACACACAGGGCUCCUUAACCGUCAUGAACUGUUUGUGCGAAGUUCAAGGUGAUCCAGUGCCUUUUUCAGUCAAUCAUACUGAUGACUUUUCUGGACUUUUUUCUUUUACUUUGUAUUGACACCAGAUGAAAAUGCUGUGCAUAUUUGACAAUCCUUGUUGUUCGAACUUUUGACAAUUUACUUGGCCAGUACUGAAGCUCCACAGGUAAGCAUGCCCAUAUACAACAUGUCCUUGAUGCAUCAAUCUACUCUGCAAAGAGAGGACAGGGUGGAUCAAGCUGGUUUAAAUAUAGCUAAGGGGUUUCCUCGUGUUGUUCUGACUUUAGUAUUUUAGAUGAUGUAAUAUGGACCGAGAUCUGUGGCACAGGAUACCAAAAAGUGGAACUUGUGCUAGAAUUGGAGCAUAUUAUUUUCCCUGUAUCAUAUUAAAGUGUUUAUAGAAUUGUCAAUCAUAUAGUAAAUAUAAUAAUAGAACACUGAAUGUACAGUCUCCCCAUGCUCACAACAUUAGGCACUACCUCCUCAGUUACUGCUUAAAAUUCUCAGUAUGAUACUUACUCUGGAGGAACUCAGCAGACUGGGCAAUAUCUAUGGAUAAGAGCAGACAUUUGAUAUUUCAGGCUGAGAACAUUCAUGACUCCUUCCAUAGAUGCAGCCUAGUUCCUCCUGCAUUUUGUGUCAGUUGUUUUAGAUUUCCAGCAUCUGCAGAUUUUACUGUUUGUGACACUUAAUCUGUCUCAGGUGAUAUUCCUGACUGAAAUAGCAGUCUUUUCAUGCAGAAAACUAUUCAAUGAUCUGGAAAUAUCAACUUCUGCCAUACAACAGACCCACAUCCAACUGCACUGUAAAACGUGGACCUACAUUCACAAGUAAGGUGAAACUUUCAAAGGAGUUCUCCUUGUGUCAAAAGGCUUGUCAUGCACUAUAUAACGUUGUUCUGUCAGAUAGAUGCCUUAUAUCAUUGCCUGGGGAGGUUAAAACGUUUGUCAGGCAAGUGAUGAAUGAGUUUUGCAUCAUGUUACGAUGAACCAAAACCACUAAUUUGCACAAAGUGCACAGAUCAAGGGCUCUUCAAUAAAGAAGUCAUUAAGAUAGUCUGCAGAUCUCCAUUUACCAAAGUGGGAACAGAAUGGGAACAGAAUGAACCAGUAUUACUGACAGCAACCUGACAGAAUGUAUCAGGAAGAACGCCGUUCUGUAGAGUGCCAGACUUACUUUCCAUAAUUCUGACAUACCUAUCUGGCAAGCAGAUUUGAGAAAGAACAGUUAUACUGUAAAUGUCAUUGUUAAUUACAGGACGUGAUCAUGAAAAUUUUUCCUCAAUUACAUUCUCAGCUUUUAAAAUGAUUUAUAGCCCGUAGGUGAUAACUAUUUUUUCUUUAACCAUCGAAUUAAAAACAAUAAUUGUUCAAAAAGGGAGAGUUGUAAUUCAAGAUCCUUAAUAAUGAAAGAUAGCAUUUCACACAUUUGUUUUUUUUGUGUGGGUGCCCUAUUGAUUUCACAAAUUCCACUGAACAUUUAAGGAUAAACCAGAAUUGGCAUUCUAAAGCACAAAUGUCGUAGCAUGAUGUUGGUCCAACCUAUUUGUCUUUAUUUUCUGCAGUUUUAGGAUGGUGUUUGUCUGUACUGGUGGCAGCUAAUGGCUGUAAUUGGCAUUUGUGUUGGUCUAGGUCUCCAGGCGAUUUCACAGCACACAAUUAGCUUUUACCAUGGUUCUAUUAAAGGCAACUUUCAUCUUUCAAAUAUUGAUUGAUCCAUGGUGCACUUCUAACAGCUACUAUUUUGAGUUGACAGAGGUAUAUUUAUUUCCCAGCUUAGCUGAUUUUUGGACAGGCAGCUCAGCUUGCCAACAAUCAGUCUUGAUGUUCCAAGAAUUAAGGAUCAUUCUCAAAGAAAAAGCUUUAUGUGAUCCAUGCUUUGUGCAAUCCAGGAAAUAUAAAACAGUGUUUUAAUUCCUUUUUGCCUGAUUAUGAAAACACUUCAGAUGAGACUAAGGCGAUUUAUAACUGAAUCCCCUAUUUCAGGGGCUCCUAACCUUGGUUAAUGGUAGGUAUCCAUGUCAUAAAACUAGGAUUGGUAACCCCAGUUCUAUUCAGUUAAAAAAUGAUUCCAUUCACUCUCCAAUUGGUUGAGGGGUGAUGAUGGUAAGGACCUGUUAUGUGGCCAACAGUGAUUUACAGGGAUAGAUUUAUCAGAGACUGGCUGUCAUGUGAUAAUAGUUCUUGGGAAAAACCAGAAUUCCUGACAUUUUGUAUUAUGGGUUUAAGCUUUUGCUCCAGUCAGAAAUCCAAGGGCAAUGGUCAUGGUACAGAACUUGCCAAAAAUCUGAUUCUCUCUGCAAAAGAUUGAAUGCAUCAGUAUUUAUAAUGAUUUGUGCAAACUCUUUGAGAUUGCAAUUUGAAUAUGGGGGGAGGGGCACAGGGGAGGCCACAGAGCUGCAACAACCAAGCAUCCCACUGAUGCUUGGACUUCAGUCUUUGAGAGUCCAGUUUCCAGUGCUGUAACUACUGGGCAGACUUGAAAGCUAAAUAAAUAAUGACGUGUGCAGCAUUUGGCAGAGCGCGGAAGAAACCACAGAGCAACAUUUUUGCUUCUGUGAGUUCAAUUUGGCCAAAUCCCAGUUGCAAUUAAACACCAAGUUCACAAGAACUAUGUGUGAGAACAAUGUACUUUAAAUGGGAGGAAAGAAAGAUUGUGUAUGGUUUGCUUUGUCUUUAAGAGGAAUUAUAAACCUGUGACCAGUUCAUAGGCGAUUUGAUCAAGUGCAGACCAUUUACACAUCUGUUAAUGAUCACCUUCAUCUAAUGCAGGUGGUUAUAUUUAAAUGUAUGGAACAUUGAACUUGUAUGUAACAAGGUACAAUAGAAGGUUCUGAUUAAAAUUAGCUCAUCUAGAUUUUUUAUUUAUUAAUCUUUUACCUAAUACAUUUCAUAAUUUCAAAACAUACAUUAUCUGUGCUGUAGAAUUCAUAAAUGAUUACAAAUAUUUUGAAUAGAUUCAUAAAGUAAUACAACAUAGAUAGAGGCCCUUUGGCCCAACAAGUCCAUGCUGAACAUGUUGCCCACCUAACCAAUCCCAGAUUCCUGUCUGGCCCAUAUCUUUCUCAGCUCCACCCCUCCAUGUACCUAUUUAAGUGCUUCUUAAAUGAUACUGUUAUAUUUGCCUGUAUUACUGCUUCUGCCAGCUUGUUCCAUAUACUCACCACCUUCUGUGUGAAAAAGUUGGCCCUCAGGUCCCUUUAAAAUUUUUCCCAUUUCCCCUCAUGCUAUAUCUAUAUGCCCUCUAGUUCUGGACUCCCCUCUCCUGCGAAAAAGACCUGCCAUCCACCUUAUCUAUAAUUCCAUAAUUAUAAACACUUCUGUAAAACUACCACUCAUUCUCCAACAUCCCAAAGAAUAAAGAUUUAGCUUGGCCAACCUCUCCACAUAAUCUAUAUCUCCAAGUGUGACUGCACCAAUGGCUUACACAACUGCAAUGCUCAAUUCAUCGCAACUCGUAUAUUCAGUACCUUGAGUGAAGGCCGGUAUGUUAAACACCCUUUUCAUCAUCUUACAAUGCUGCUUUCAGUGGACCCAAGGUCCUUCUGCCACUUGUAUCCUCGGUGCCUCUGUUCCAUUACACUCCUUAGUGCCCUACCAUUCAUAGUACAAAUGCUAAACAGGUUUGACUUUGCAAAAUGUAUCACCUCACACUAGGCUGCAUUGAAAUCUACUUGCCACCUCUUAGCCCACUUCCCCAACUGAUGAAGUAAUCGACGAUAACCAUCUUCACUAUCAACAACAGCCCUAACUUCAUGUCACCUGCAAUCUUGCAAUCAAACCUUGUGCAUUUUCAUCCAAAUAAUUUAUAGAACUUACAAAUAACAAUGAUUCCAACACUGAACCUGGUGCACACUGGCCUUCAUGUUGAGAAACCACCACACUCUGCUUCAUAUUUCCAAACUAAUUUGAAUCCAUUCUUCCUAGAUUUAUGGGACCUAAACUUCCAGACCAGACUAUCAUACAGGAUCUUGCCAAAGGCUUUGCUGAAGUCCAAAUAGACAACAUCAUCUGCCCUACCCUCAUUGACUUUUUAAAUUAACUCUUCAAAAAAGUCUAAAAGAUUUGACAAACAUGACUUCCCCCAGACAAAACCAUGCCAACUUCCUCCUGAUUAGACUCCUGCCCCUCAGAAUUCUCUCCAGUAACUUUCCCAUUGCUGAUGUUAGGCUGACCGCUCUGUAGUUCCCUGGCUUGUCCUUGCUACCCUUUUUAAAUAAUAGAACAAUAUUAGCCACCUUCUAGUCUUCUUGAACUUCAUGACUGGCUAACAAUAAAGGGAAUAUCUCUAUAAGGAUGUCCAUAAUUUUCUUUCUAACCCUUCAUAAAGUCUAAGGAUGCACACUGUAAGGCAUUGAGGAUUUAUUUUCCGUAGUGCACUGUAAGGCUGCCAAUACCUCCUUCUCAGUAAUCUGAAGGUCCUCUGAAAUAUCUCCAGUUGUUUUCUUUGUAACUUGAGCAGCCAUGAGUUUCCCCCUCAGAAAUAUGGAGGAAAAAUAAUCAUACCUCCUGUGGCUCAAGACUUAAGUGGCCCUGCUGAUCUCUAAGGGGCAUAAAGUACACUCUCCCUAGAUGCCCUUUUACUCUCAAUAUAGCUAUAGAACCUCCUGGAAUUUUCCUUAACCUCAUCUGCCAAAUUGAUUUCAUAUCCUCUCUUUGACCUCCUGAUUUUCCCCUUAAAAAUAUUCAUAGCCUUCUUAUAGUCAUCAAGGGAUUUGCUUGAUCCUGACUUCCUGAACCCGGUGCAUGCUUUCUUCUUUUUGUUGAUAAUAUUUAAGUUUACUGACAAUACCUCUGUUGUAGACUGAAUCAAAGGUGUUGAUGAAUCAGAUUUAGGAGGGAGAAUGAAAAUCUGGCUGAGUGGUUCCACAACAAAUUUUCACUCAACAUCAGCAAGACCAAGGAGCUGAUUAUUGACGUCAGGAGGAGGAAUCCAGAGGUCCAUGAGCCAGUCCUCAUCAGGGGAUCAGAGUGGGAGAGGGUCAGCAACUUUUAAUUCCUUGGUGUUAUCACUUCAGGCCGCCUGUCCUGGGUCAGUCAUUACAAAGAAAGCACAACAGUGCCCGUAUUUCCUGAAAGUUUGCAAAGAUUCUUAUAGAUGUGCAGUGGAGAGUAUAUUGACUGGUUGCAUUACAGCCUGGUAUGGAAAUACCAGCGCCCUUGAAUGGAAAAACCUAGAAAAAGUAGUGGAAAUGGCCCUGUCCAUCAUGGGUAGAGCCCUCCCCACCAUUGUGCACAUCUACAUGGAGUGCUGUUGCAGGAAAACAGCAUUGAUCAUCAGGGACCCCCUCCACCCUGGCCAUGCUCUCUUCGCACUGCUGCCAACAGGAUGAAAGAAAGGGGGCCUCAGCACUCAUACCAUCAGUUUCAGGAACAAUUGUUACCUCCAACCAUCAUGCCCUUGAAGAAAAGGGGAUAACUUCACUCAACUUCGCUCGCCCCCAUCACUGAAAUGUUUCCACAAUUUAUGAACUCAUUUUCAAGAACUCAUGACCUCAUGUUCUCGGUUUUUAUUAUUAUAUUUUUUUCUUUCUUAUUAUCUUUUGUACACUGGUUAUCUGACCUGUUGGUGCAGUCUUUCAUUGAUUCUAUUAUGGUUAUUGGAUUUAUAGUGUAUGCCCACAAGAAAAUGAACUUCAGGGUUGAAUAUGGUGACAUAUAUGUACUUUAAUAAUAGAUUUACACUGAGCUUUGAGCCUCAAUAACUCUCAUCAGUUAAAGUUCCCUGAACUUUCCAGGUUUAAUCUAACAGGAACAGGCUGCUCCUGGACACUUGAUAUCACACUCAUAAAAGCCUUUCACUUGCUAAUUAUUCCUUUCCCACCAAAUAGACUCACCUAAUAAACCUCUGCUAUAUCGUAAUUACUUUGCUCCAGUCAGAAGCCAAACCUGUGGACUUGACCUUUCCUUUCCCUCAUUAUCUUAAGAUUAAUAGGAUUAUGAUCACUAGAGUUAAUAAAGUAAAUCAAUAAAUAAGCAAUAAAUAUCGAGAACAUGAGAUGAAGAAUCCUUGAAAGUGAGUCCAUAGGUUGUGGUAAUAGUUCAGAGAUGUGGUAAGUGUAGGUGGGUGUAGUUAUCCCCUGUAGUUCAGUGUCAUGUCAAAUCUUGGUAAACUCCCAGGGAAGUAGAGACACUGUUCUGCUUACUUUAUAAUUGCAAAUACAUGCUGGGCUCAGGACAGGAUAACACUGAGGAAUUUAAAGUUGCUGACCCACUCCACCUCUGAUCCCUGAUGAGUAUUGGCACAUGGAC